AGGUUGGGAGGCAGUUGCUUGUCCUGGCUGUGCAGUACUGCCCCCAUCCCUAGAAGUAAGAUGAAAUGACCUCGGCCUCCAGAGAGGAUCAUGAGAAGGUAAGAGCAAUGGCAGCUGGCAACCUGCCCAGCCUGAGGGUUCAACCCUACGCAACUGAAGCAAUAAGGAUGUGUGCUGAGUGCCAGAUUGUGGGUGUGCACCUAAAACUGCUGCCUCCCGCUGAGCCCAUUCACAUACCCCUGGGGUCCACCACAUGCUCCCUGACUGUUGUCAAGCACUGUCUUCCUCACGGGUCUCAUAACCCGCAGCAGACCCACCUGUCAGUGGCUGCAGCUGGACCAGGGCACAGCCACGGCCUGUGGCCAUCACAUGGAAACGGCUGAGGGUCCUUUUGACACCUUCCUGGAUGUCCUUUCGAGAUGGGGACAUCACUGGGACUGCCUAGGGUACCAGUCAAGAAUGACUUAACACAUCCCUAGGACUUUGUUGAGCACCACCCCCCACCCCCUGCUGCCAGUUGCCAGUUGAUGUAGGACAGGGCCUCCACAAUGGCAGCAGCCAUUUGCCUGUUAGGAGACAGCAAAACUAGCCACCCCAGGUGCACAGCCUGGACUCCUCUGUAAGGCAAAAACCGAAGGGACACCACUUCCCUGGUGGUCUCUGACUUACAAGAUCAACGUCAUUCAUUUGUUCCAUCUUCAGAGGCAUGCAGACUGUCCCCUCUGAAGGCUCAGGGAUGCCAUCAGUGACAGCACUAAGAAAGGGAAAGGAGGUCUCAGAGCAGCCUGGUGGGACCUUCCCUCAGUCCUGGGAGUGACCCUGCACCUCUCACCAGUAGGUGGCUGUGGGUCUCUGUGCUCUCCUUGAGUGGAUAAAGAACUUCUGCAGGCGGCUUGCUGUCUGGGGACAGCUGGAGAGGAGCACAAGUCCGGAGGCCUCCCUGGAAGAAGGGGACAAAUCACAUAAAGCCUCUUGGUCUUGAAAACGAGCUCUAGAUGGCUGCUCUUGCAGAGGACCAGCAUUGAGCACCCGCAUGGUGGCUCACAACUAUCUGCGAUUCCAAUUCGAGAUCAGAUGCCGCCUUCUGGCCUCUGAGGGCACCAGAUACACACUGUGGUGCAUAGACAUACAUGCAGGCUAAACACACUAUACACAAUAAGGAUAACCCCCAUCCCCAACUAAAGGCUGGACAGAAACACCAGGACUAGAAUCCAGACCUGAGAAACAAGUCAUAAGGCCUUUUCUCUCUCCCUCAAGAGAGAGAGCCGAAUGCGCUAAGAGUUAACACCAAUGUCCAGGGCCUACCAUGUAUCAGGCAUUUGAAUAAGACUUUUACUUACAGUGGGUGUAACAUACACCCCACACUAUCACUUACUUCCCAGGUGCUCGCACAACCUGGAGCUCCUGGUGUUCGAGCCCCAGGGCCUGGCUCAGCUGCGGCAGCACAGAUAGCAGCGUCAGCUCUCCUGGUCUCCCUGGGAGGGAAGAGGACAAGCUGCCAGCGUGCCAUCCAACCAUCUCUACCCCAGCCUUGCCCUCCUCCCUGCCCAUGCCCAUACCUGUCACAGGCAGACCCUGUGGCUUGUUCAGUGUCACCAGAGGUCCUGAAACAGUUCAUGGAUGUCAGCAAAAGCAGGGAAGCAUGUCUGCAUGCAGCCUCGGGGGUGGGGUUGGGGGUGGGGGUUAUACAAUCCAACCCCACUUUAAAUAGCACUUCCUAAUCCCUGUACCUCGGAGCCUUCAUACCUGCAGUUCCAGGCUUCCAUUCCCAUUGGCUCCAACAUACCUCAGUAUAAUGUGUGCCCCUCCUACAGUCCUUGACUGUUGCGGGUGGAGGGGGGCUCAAACACCAAGUCAGCCUCAAAUUCACUACACAGCUAAGUCUGGUCCUGAACUCCUGAUUCUCCUUGCCUCUACCUCCCAAGUUCUGGAAUUACAAGUGUGGUUACCACGCCAGCAGCGAUUGCUCAGUAAUUCUCACAUUAGGACGCUGGAUCUCGCAAGGCAGGGGCCAUAUUUAUCCCAGAACUGUGAAGCCCCUCACUGCUACAUGAACAUACAGUCGUGAAGCAACAUGUGGGUGCUGACUGCUGGUCCUCUCUGCAAGAGCAGCCAUCUAGCCCUCUUAUGAAACCAAGAGGCAUGCCGCUUACAGAGGCCAGCUAUAACUAACCCCAAAGCUUUUUCUGAUAGUUAACUUCUGUUACAGCUGCUCUCAGAACACAGGGAGGAGUGAGGUAUACACCUCUCCUCGUGAUGGUGAGGCUAGGAAGAAUGUGACUGCUGGCCUGGCUCCUGCAGCAACAGGGGAGGCACAGGAGCAGCAGGCUCCCCUCACCUUUCUGAUCCACCACAGCUGCCCUCAGGACAUGAGCCAGCUCCUCCAGGCCGAGGUUCUCCGUCCUCAGCAGCCCCGGGAAGGGCUGGUCCUCGACUAGGUCCUUGUGCUUGCUGGAGCGGUGAGGUUGAGACGGACGCCUGAGAAACAUGGUAGAAGCCUGUACCUCCCUCCCUUGCUCACCCUGCCUAGUCCAGCCUCUUCUUAGAACUCCCGGGCUCAGCAGACAGGAGUCCACCUACCCCCCAAGACUUUACCAAAGAGGCACCAAGGCUCAAAGGUCCAAUGACCUAGUGCCGGGUCUCACAACAUAGUCCGGCUUAGAACCAAGUACUGAUCUGAAUUUCAUGCCUGCCCUCUCCUUGAUCUAGUCUCUCCCCAUACACGGAAGUGGAGUGUUAUAAUCACCGGGCCUCGGUGCCGAAGCCGGCAUCCCUCUGCCGUGCGCAAGACCCCAGCUCCGGCCGCCAGAUCAUAGAGACAUAACGCAAAACUCUCAGGGCUCCCAUUGCCGGGGACCAAGCACAGUACGCAUGCGUGUCCACGGACAGCUCAACCCCACCUCCCGUACAUCCUCCGUGCGUAGAUUGGUCAGGCAGGCUGUCAAUCAAGGCAGAGGGCGCUCAGACGAGCGAGAAUCCGGGCUUUGCCUCCCCUGUAGAAGAAAAAGUGCCAUUUAGGGUUCUGGCUUUUGGGAAAACUGAGGCACGAGGCGGGUUAUUUACUCAAAGUAGAGGACGUGUCUUAGAAUAAAAAGGGUCGAGAAGACUGUC
This 3111-nucleotide long non-coding RNA is filed under the name Mus musculus (house mouse). RNAcentral's name for it is "long non-coding RNA chr6:113416471-113419582". The record is from RNAcentral. Lineage: Eukaryota; Metazoa; Chordata; Mammalia; Rodentia; Muridae.